Long non-coding RNA from Macrobrachium nipponense, 291 nucleotides. RefSeq lists it as uncharacterized. The record is from RefSeq and is a predicted model, not a curated record. The transcript has 3 exons. NCBI's taxonomy places the organism in Eukaryota, Metazoa, Arthropoda, Malacostraca, Decapoda, Palaemonidae.
CGAGGGAGAGUCAGACUACUUUACCAUAGCGGCAGUCACCAUUGAACGGUGAAGGUGUUUUUGUCUCUCUUGUCGUUCGGAUUCACACGUGUUUCCUCUCGUACCGUACUAAGUGCCAUCGUAAGUGUUUUCCGAGGUCGGCUCUCUUAGGAACACCGAUAUAACACACAGGUCGAUACAGUGCAUUAUAGGUCGUCCCAUCAUCAAUGACCCUUCUCUGCUGAGCAAGAUGAUGUCACAUCUACCUCUGAGAUAAGAGGACGACCUACUUCAGAGGACCCAGAAGAAGGU